AUGUCCCGGCGCGGCCCAGAAUCCGCCAGAGGAGAAGCGCAGAGGCCAUGCACGCGGGGAGAGGCUGCGGAGGCUCUUCGGUCGCCAGGGAGACCCCUCCGCCCGCGCGGACCCAGACCAGGCACGAGGGGACACCCCCAGAGACCCACCAGUCCCGGCUCUGCACGUCGAGGCGGGGGGGGGAGCUUCAGAGCUCGCUGGGCUCCCCGAACGUCCCGCCUUAGAAACGCCUGUCACCUCCCAACCGGUCACCAGGACAGGGGCCGCUGCCGUCACCCUCAGCGCCUUGGACCUUCAGGGCCCCCGGCUGCCCUGGGCUGGCGGCCACACUUCCUACAGCCCCUGGGACGCUGUCACUCCCCGUCCAAACCUCUCCCGCCACCCCGUCGCGCGUGGGGGGAGAGACUCGACCUGGCCCGGCUGCCCCCCGUCCCCGCUCUGCGCUGGGACGCCCCGAGCCCCGGUCAAUCCAGGGUCUCCGGCGGGAGCACGUCAGGGACCCACACUGGCCCUCGUCUGCCCGCGUCUGGAGUGUCACCGCCCCUUCUCAACAGUACGAUGCAGGCGACACGCAGCGUCCGAAGAGCUGGCAUUUACGCUGCGCUCGGGCUUCUGGGCCACACACGUCAUCUUGAAGGCCCCCCGCCCCAGGAUGGGUCCUGUGUCCCCCGCGCCUGCUGGGAUUCCCGGGCCGGCUUGUUGGAACCCCUGGGAGGGUGUGCCGUCAGGGCUCAGGGCACACGGGUCUCAUUCCCGCCGUGGGGCUGGUACAUCCGUGGGUCUCUGCCCCAACCUCACCCAAGCGCCUCCGUUUCAAGAUCCUGCCCUUUCCCCACGGCUCCCGCGCAGAGGGAGGGACCCAGCCAGACCCGUUCAGUCCCUGCAGAGGGGAGGGCGGGCGGUCUGGGGCCACUGCCUCCCACCUCUUGCUGGGCCUUCAAGCUGAUGAGAAGCGUCUUUUUCCGCGUUUCUGGAGACACCAGAGCUGAGCGUGGCUCCGGAGGAGGAAUAACGGCCUGUCCUGGGGGCGCGGGAGGGGAGCACUGGCGUCCACAGCUUCCUCCGGCCCAAGGGCCUGAGGUCUAG
RNAcentral lists this long non-coding RNA (1086 nucleotides) under Sus scrofa (pig). RNAcentral describes it as "lncRNA (ENSSSCG00070001990.1)". Lineage: Eukaryota; Metazoa; Chordata; Mammalia; Artiodactyla; Suidae. The record is from RNAcentral.